UGUAAAACAAGAAUCAAAACCAUCUUAUCUGAGAAAGAGUUCCUUCAACAACUACCCAAAAAUUUCUUUUAAUCACUUAAUUUUUAAUUUUUUAAUUAUUAAUUUCAGAUUCAAAGAAAUGUUUAAUACAACACUAACACUAGCUUACGAACAGAGUUUGCCUCGAGGGAUUUUUCAUCCACCAUCCAUCCCCUUGUCGAACGCAGGUUUCGUCAUCCACAUUCAAAAUUGGCUUUCUUACAUGACGAUAAACCCUACUGGUGGCAACUUUCGUUC
Molecule: long non-coding RNA, 276 nt
Filed under: Physcomitrium patens
Lineage: Eukaryota; Viridiplantae; Streptophyta; Bryopsida; Funariales; Funariaceae
Description: long non-coding RNA (PPAT_LNC009636)
Source: RNAcentral